GGGCCGUUAGCUCAUUUGGUAGAGCGUCUGGCUGGCAGUCAGAAGGUGACCGGUUCAAGCCCGGUACGGUCCA
RNAcentral lists this transfer RNA (73 nucleotides) under Candidatus Daviesbacteria bacterium RIFCSPHIGHO2_01_FULL_44_29. Its description in RNAcentral is "tRNA-Ala". It matches the Rfam family "tRNA". Rfam says of the family: Transfer RNA (tRNA) molecules are approximately 80 nucleotides in length. Their secondary structure includes four short double-helical elements and three loops (D, anti-codon, and T loops). RNAcentral also lists the same sequence under 5 other names. Lineage: Bacteria; Candidatus Daviesiibacteriota. The record is from RNAcentral.